UGUCAAGAAGUCUAGUUACAGGAAAAACAGAUUACAUCAUUUUUGCAGGGAUUUCAGCUUGGCUUUGGGGUCAGACAAAAUGUGCUGUUCAAUCAAAUCAAGCCACCCAUGGAAAAAUGCUUAGAUACAGCCCUCGUCUCAGAUUCUCUAAACCCAGUGUAUCCGGUCUUGUUUAUUUUGGAUGGAUUCCAUCGUAUUAUAAAAGAUGACAUCAAGAACAUCCUGGAACUCUACUGACUGGAUUGCUUCAGUGCUGCACGUUGGAAAUUCUGCAUCCGUCCUCCUUUUCCUGUCAAAUCUGCUCCAAUUGGCUGCUGUCGAGAUGUGCA
Molecule: long non-coding RNA, 329 nt
Organism: Mauremys reevesii (Reeves's turtle)
Lineage: Eukaryota; Metazoa; Chordata; Testudines; Geoemydidae
Exons: 3
Source: RefSeq, a predicted model, not a curated record